RNAcentral lists this small RNA (29 nucleotides) under Bombyx mori (domestic silkworm). RNAcentral's name for it is "ovarian small RNA-27048". Lineage: Eukaryota; Metazoa; Arthropoda; Insecta; Lepidoptera; Bombycidae. The record is from RNAcentral.
UCCAUGUGUGUCUAAAACAUUAUUUAUGG